GGGGGCGUACUGGUUUCGACGUGUUGUUGUUACCAAUAAGCGCAUGUCGAGUGUUGUCUAUAUUCUCGUAAAACAAGUAGGCAUAAAACAAUAAUUGGCGCUGAAGUCGGCGUAAUUGGUGCUUAAGUAAGCUCUAAUUCUUGUUCUAACGGCGUGUCUAUCAGCUGUUUUAACUCGUAUUACCCAGAUAGAAUUUAAAAAGCGAAGGUGAGCGAUUUAAUAGCUUUUUAAAUAGCAUAAGUCGCCUUGCGUGCCAACCGUGUGUGCUCGGGGCACGUUUGAAUUAAGCACAAUAAACAUGUAGUGCUUGUUGCUAAAAGCAGUGCGGACAUGGGUUCGACUCCCAUCGCCUCCACCA
This 358-nucleotide transfer-messenger RNA is filed under the name bacterium. It matches the Rfam family "transfer-messenger RNA". From Rfam's summary of the family: Bacterial tmRNA, also known as 10Sa RNA or SsrA, is named for its dual tRNA and mRNA-like properties. Its role is to liberate the mRNA from a stalled ribosome. To accomplish this part of the tmRNA is used as a reading frame that ends in a translation stop signal. The record is from RNAcentral. RNAcentral also lists the same sequence under 1 other name.